RNAcentral lists this long non-coding RNA (213 nucleotides) under Mytilus galloprovincialis (Mediterranean mussel). Lineage: Eukaryota; Metazoa; Mollusca; Bivalvia; Mytilida; Mytilidae. The record is from RNAcentral.
UGGUAUUAUUCAUUUUAUUUGGAAAACAAAAGGGCCUGGAAAGGAGAAUUUUUUAAUCAACAGCAUUGUCCUUUACGAGUUAUAAAUAAAGUUGAAUAAUUUGAUUCGCUGUUUUACGUCAUUCCGGCUAACAAAUUGAAAACUGUACAUGCUGUACCUAUACGCCUUAUUUUAAGUCCAGAUUUUUAUUAUUCGUAUUGUCAUCCUAGAAAG